RNAcentral lists this ribosomal RNA (1491 nucleotides) under Salmonella enterica subsp. enterica serovar Typhimurium. RNAcentral's name for it is "bacterial LSU rRNA". It matches the Rfam family "Bacterial large subunit ribosomal RNA", at positions 80 to 1668 of the family's 2925-position model. The record is from RNAcentral. Lineage: Bacteria; Pseudomonadati; Pseudomonadota; Gammaproteobacteria; Enterobacterales; Enterobacteriaceae.
GGUAAGGUGAUAUGAACCGUUAUAACCGGCGAUACCCGAAUGGGGAAACCCAGUGUGAUUCGUCACACUAUCAUUAACUGAAUCCAUAGGUUAAUGAGGCGAACCGGGGGAACUGAAACAUCUAAGUACCCCGAGGAAAAGAAAUCAACCGAGAUUCCCCCAGUAGCGGCGAGCGAACGGGGAGGAGCCCAGAGCCUGAAUCAGCAUGUGUGUUAGUGGAAGCGUCUGGAAAGGCGCGCGAUACAGGGUGACAGCCCCGUACACAAAAGCGCAUGUGCUGUGAGCUCGAUGAGUAGGGCGGGACACGUGGUAUCCUGUCUGAAUAUGGGGGGACCAUCCUCCAAGGCUAAAUACUCCUGACUGACCGAUAGUGAACCAGUACCGUGAGGGAAAGGCGAAAAGAACCCCGGCGAGGGGAGUGAAAAAGAACCUGAAACCGUGUACGUACAAGCAGUGGGAGCACAGGUUUACCUGUGUGACUGCGUACCUUUUGUAUAAUGGGUCAGCGACUUAUAUUCUGUAGCAAGGUUAACCGUAUAGGGGAGCCGGAGGGAAACCGAGUCUUAAUUGGGCGUUAAGUUGCAGGGUAUAGACCCGAAACCCGGUGAUCUAGCCAUGGGCAGGUUGAAGGUUGGGUAACACUAACUGGAGGACCGAACCGACUAAUGUUGAAAAAUUAGCGGAUGACCUGUGGCUGGGGGUGAAAGGCCAAUCAAACCGGGAGAUAGCUGGUUCUCCCCGAAAGCUAUUUAGGUAGCGCCUCGUGAAUUCAUCUCCGGGGGUAGAGCACUGUUUCGGCUAGGGGGCCAUCCCGGCUUACCAACCCGAUGCAAACUGCGAAUACCGGAGAAUGUUAUCACGGGAGACACACGGCGGGUGCUAACGUCCGUCGUGAAGAGGGAAACAACCCAGACCGCCAGCUAAGGUCCCAAAGUCAUGGUUAAGUGGGAAACGAUGUGGGAAGGCCCAGACAGCCAGGAUGUUGGCUUAGAAGCAGCCAUCAUUUAAAGAAAGCGUAAUAGCUCACUGGUCGAGUCGGCCUGCGCGGAAGAUGUAACGGGGCUAAACCAUGCACCGAAGCUGCGGCAGCGANNUGCUGGAGGUAUCAGAAGUGCGAAUGCUGACAUAAGUAACGAUAAAGCGGGUGAAAAGCCCGCUCGCCGGAAGACCAAGGGUUCCUGUCCAACGUUAAUCGGGGCAGGGUGAGUCGACCCCUAAGGCGAGGCCGAAAGGCGUAGUCGAUGGGAAACGGGUUAAUAUUCCCGUACUUGGUGUUACUGCGAAGGGGGGACGGAGAAGGCUAUGUUGGCCGGGCGACGGUUGUCCCGGUUUAAGCGUGUAGGUGUGUGUUCCAGGUAAAUCCGGUUCACUUUAACACUGAGGCGUGACGACGAGGCACUACGGUGCUGAAGCAACAAAUGCCCUGCUUCCAGGAAAAGCCUCUAAGCAUCAGGUAACAUCAAAUCGUACCCCAAACCGACACAGGUGGUC